RNAcentral lists this transfer RNA (69 nucleotides) under Zea mays. It matches the Rfam family "tRNA". Rfam says of the family: Transfer RNA (tRNA) molecules are approximately 80 nucleotides in length. Their secondary structure includes four short double-helical elements and three loops (D, anti-codon, and T loops). The record is from Rfam by way of RNAcentral. Lineage: Eukaryota; Viridiplantae; Streptophyta; Magnoliopsida; Poales; Poaceae.
GUCUAGUUCAGUUGGUAGAGUGCAAGGCUUUUAACCUUGAGGUUGUGGGUUCAAGCCCCAUGGUGGACA